CUUGCUCUGUGAAAGCAACAGCAGACAAUCAUUUCAUUUCACACUCUUUUCCCUGGAUUUCCCUGGCAGACGCUAUAGCACGGCAACCAUAGAGCCCAUUCAGCCUUUUUUCACUGUCACCGUA
Molecule: non-coding RNA, 124 nt
Organism: Chelonoidis abingdonii (Abingdon island giant tortoise)
Lineage: Eukaryota; Metazoa; Chordata; Testudines; Testudinidae
Source: RefSeq, a predicted model, not a curated record